This 424-nucleotide ribosomal RNA is filed under the name Haliotis discus. Its description in RNAcentral is "partial 16S ribosomal RNA". It matches the Rfam family "Bacterial large subunit ribosomal RNA", at positions 1970 to 2594 of the family's 2925-position model. Lineage: Eukaryota; Metazoa; Mollusca; Gastropoda; Lepetellida; Haliotidae. The record is from RNAcentral.
UGCCUUUUAAUUGGAGGCUGGUAUGAAUGGUUUGACGAGGGCUGAGCUGUCUCUCCUGGAAUAUUUAAAAAUUAACUUCUAAGUGAAAAGGCUUAGAUUUAGCUGAGGGACGAGAAGACCCUGUUGAGCUUUAGUGUGGAAUAAAGGGGUUGUUUCUAUUAGAAUAGAGGAUUUUAAAUUUAUUCUUACAUCUUUAGUUGGGGUGACUAGGGAACAUGAAAAGCUUCUCUGUUAAUUUGUAGAAUUUUGGUUUACUAACAAGUGAUCCAGCAUUGCUGAUUAUCGGAAAAAGUUACCACAGGGAUAACAGCGUAAUCUUUCUGGAGAGUUCACAUUGAAAGAAGGGUUUGCGACCUCGAUGUUGGAUUAAGGUGUCCUGAGGGUGUAGCAGCUUUCGUUGGUUGGUCUGUUCGACCAUUAAAAC